This 286-nucleotide long non-coding RNA is filed under the name Bos taurus (domestic cattle). RNAcentral's name for it is "long non-coding RNA NONBTAT025379". Lineage: Eukaryota; Metazoa; Chordata; Mammalia; Artiodactyla; Bovidae. The record is from RNAcentral.
GAGGGAUAACUAGGAACAGUACUUCUUUAGCCUCGUACUAAAUCAAAGGUGGGGAAAGAAUCCAAUUCUCAGCAUCCUGGCAACUGAUGUACUCACCCUUAGUCCAUCUUAUAACCUUUAAACUUUGAUAAAUAAUCAGUGGCCAUAUGCGGGCCUCUCACAUGAAUCCAGAUAGCUCAAAAGAGGGUGAAACUGACGGUCUUGGGCCUUACCAACACACCACAGCACAGCAGUCAACCUUGGGAAAAUGAUUUUCCUUCCUGUGCUAAUCUUACCGUAUGUAAAU